Molecule: long non-coding RNA, 2642 nt
Filed under: Sus scrofa (pig)
Lineage: Eukaryota; Metazoa; Chordata; Mammalia; Artiodactyla; Suidae
Description: lncRNA (ENSSSCG00005027872.1)
Source: RNAcentral
ACUCUCAGCCAAUAUUAUUUCCAACAUCAUGGAUAACUAUUUUGCAGAAAUUAGUUCAUCUCCCUGCUUUGCAAACCAACCUUCUCCAUAAAAAUUAUCCAUAUUUAGUAAGACGACGUGCUCACCUUCUCCCACAAACACAUCAAAGAAAUGCAUCUACAUGUAAAAUGACGUGCACAGAACAUCCACUGAACACUGGCAGAAGAACUUAAACCUCCAAAAAGGGCAAGAAACCCUUGAUAUAACUGGGUAGAAAAAAAGAAAAAAAGAGAGAGAGAAAAGGAAUCAGGACGGGACUAGCACUCCCAAGAGGGAGCAGUAAAGGAGAAAAGAAUCCCACACCCUGGGAAGCCACCUGACCAAUGGAAAGAUCAGCCAAGUCGGAGGGAUCCCCAAGAUGCCAAGAAAAGCACAGCAGCAGGUCUGAGAACCAAAAAGCAGAGUGAGAGACACAGAUCAUCUGAACCACUGGCUCAGACACCACAGCCUGAGAUGCUCAGGUGGGGGCUGGGCACCGAGACUUAAGUUCUGUCAAUUUUCUACUGUACAGCAAGGUGACCCAGUUACACAUGCAUGUAUAUAUUCUUUUUUCUCACAUUAUCAUGCUCCAUCGUAAGUGACUAGAUAUAGUUCCCAGUGUUAUACAGCAGGAUCUCAUUGCUCAUCCAUUCCAAAGGCAAUAGCUUGCAGCUAUUAACCCCAAACUCCCAAUCCAUCCUACUCCCUCCCCCUCCCACAAGUCUGUUCUCCAAGUCCAUGUUUUUCUUUUCUGUGGAAAGGUUCCUUUGCGCCAUGUUUUAGAUUCCAGAUAUAAGUGGUAUCAUAUGGUAUUUGUCUUUCUCUUUCUGACUUACUUCACUUAGUAAGAGAGUCUCUAGUUCCAUCCAUGUGGCUUCAAAUGGCAUUCUUUUGUUCUUUUUUAUGGUUGAAGGAACAUCAUUCUUAGGAAGGGUUCCAUAGGUGCCACUAGACUGUCAAUAGGGCCCUUGACACUACAAAUGUUGUAAACCCCUUCAUGCCUUCCUCAGAGACUUGGCAAUCAGGAGUCUCUAGUCAGAAAUCUUCUCCUUGAGCAUCUUGUAGCAGCCAGAGCCAAUCUCCUCCAACAUGUCCUGAUGACAACAUUAAUAUUCCUCAAAUAUCAAGUAAAUAACUUUUCUUCCUGGUAGCCUUCCUAGGUUAAUCAAAGGAUAGCUGACACAUUUCCCAUCUUUUUGUUCAAGGCAUUCUUGUGACUGUUUUUCUGCAUUUCACUAGUUCCGUAGUUAGGGCAGGUUCUCAUCCCAAAGCCUCUCAUUUGGAUAGCUAGAACACUUAGGAGUUCCUGUUGCGGCUCAGCAGGUUAAGGACCCAAUGUAGUCUCCAUGAGGAUGGGAGUUCGAUUCUUGGCCUCCUCAGUCAGUUAAGGAUCUGGUGUUGCUGCAAGCUGCGGCAUAGGUCACAGAUGUGGUUCAGAUCCAGUAUUGCUGUGGCUGUGGCUUGGGCCUCAGCUGCAGCUCCGAUUUGACACCUGGUCCAGGAAUUUCCAUAUUUCAUUGGUGCAGCCAUAGCGGUAGAGAAGAAGAACACUUAGCUAAUUUAACAUUAUUUUUCUGUAGCCUUAUGGAAGCAUUGACACAUGAGUACACAGGCAUACUCGGGCUUUCUGGUGUCAAAAAAAAAGAAAAGUAGAGUGGCCAUACAACCCAGCAAUCCCAUUCCUGGGCAUAUAUCCAGACAAAACUGUAAUUCAAAAAGAUACAUGCACUCUUAUGCUCUUAGAAGCACUAUUUACCAUAGCCGAGACAUGGAAACAACAUAUGUGUCCAUUGACAGGUGAAUGGAUUAAGACAAUGUAGUACAUAUACACAGUGGAAUACUACUUGGCCAUAAAAAAGAACAAAAUAAUGCCAUUUGCAGCAACAUGGAUGGACCCAGAGAUUAUCAUAUUAAGUGAAGCAGCAAGAGAAAGACAAAUACCAUAUGAUAUCACUUAUAUGUGGAAUCUAAAAUAUGACACGAAUGAACUUAUAUAUGAAACAGAAACAGAUUCAUCAACAAUGUUGUAAUUCAACUAUACCUCCAUUAAAAAAUAAAAGAAAUAGAAAGACAUAGGAAAGUAAAUACAGUCAUCUCUAAUUCACCUACAUUCAUUUUCAAGUAAUACUAAAGGUAAAUAUCCCUGCUGAACAUUAGUAUAUAAUUUCUUUAUUCCCAAUUCUAACUAUCUAGUGUUUCAACCAAUAGUCUUGCAAAUUCUAUUUUUGCUAGUUGAUAUAUUCCCAGAUAUAGUAACUGAAAGGAGGAUUAAAGCAACAACAUUAGCCCAAGUACACUCCCCCGCAAACUUGUAUCUUAAGAAAAACCCACACCAGAGGCAUAAGGAAAAGGGUAGAUACUCCUAAAUCUGACCCUCCAUUGUGGAUUAGCCUGUGGGAACUCUGAUGCCAAAGAGAACAAGACCAGUUCACAAGGGUUUGCUGAAUAAGAAGUUUUAAUGCCAAGGUGAAACUACCCAUGGUCAAAUUACCACAAAAGGCAAAAUCUCUUGUAAAUCUGUUUUAUUUUUCUUUGGCAUGUAAAUUGUACGCAUUUGUGUCAACUGUAGUUAUAUACAUUAGGCACAGAGUAGAGAAAUAAAAUUUACAUAUUUUGAAGCACAC